GAUGAACGCUAGCUACAGGCUUAACACAUGCAAGUCGAGGGGCAGCAUGAAGUUUGCUUGCAAACUUUGAUGGCGACCGGCGCACGGGUGAGUAACGCGUAUCCAACCUUCCCCAUAGUAGGGAAUAGCCCGGCGAAAGUCGGAUUAAUGCCCUAUGUUGUAUUAUGAGGACAUCUGAGCAAUACCAAAGAUUUAUCGCUAUGGGAUGGGGAUGCGUCUGAUUAGGUAGUAGGCGGGGUAACGGCCCACCUAGCCGACGAUCAGUAGGGGUUCUGAGAGGAAGGUCCCCCACAUUGGUACUGAGACACGGACCAAACUCC
RNAcentral lists this ribosomal RNA (320 nucleotides) under uncultured Prevotella sp. Its description in RNAcentral is "bacterial SSU rRNA". It matches the Rfam family "Bacterial small subunit ribosomal RNA", at positions 28 to 339 of the family's 1533-position model. Lineage: Bacteria; Pseudomonadati; Bacteroidota; Bacteroidia; Bacteroidales; Prevotellaceae. The record is from RNAcentral.